Molecule: ribosomal RNA, 495 nt
Filed under: uncultured bacterium
Lineage: Bacteria
Description: partial 16S ribosomal RNA
Rfam family: Bacterial small subunit ribosomal RNA
Source: RNAcentral
GACGAACGCUGGCGGCGUGCCUAAUACAUGCAAGUAGAACGCUGAAGGAGGAGCUUGCUUCUCUGGAUGAGUUGCGAACGGGUGAGUAACGCGUAGGUAACCUGCCUGGUAGCGGGGGAUAACUAUUGGAAACGAUAGCUAAUACCGCAUAAGAGUAGAUGUUGCAUGACAUUUGCUUAAAAGGUGCAAUUGCAUCACUACCAGAUGGACCUGCGUUGUAUUAGCUAGUUGGUGGGGUAACGGCUUACCAAGGCGACGAUACAUAGCCGACCUGAGAGGGUGAUCGGCCACACUGGGACGGAGACACGGCCCAGACUACUACGAGAGGCAGCAGUAGGGAAUCUUCAGCAAUGGACGGAAGUCUGACCGAGCAACGCCGCGUGAGUGAAGAAGGUUGUCGGAUCGUAAAGCUCUGUUGUAAGAGAAGAACGAGUGUGAGAGUGGAAAGUUCACACUGUGACGGUAUCUUACCAGAAAGGGACGGCUAACUACGUG